GGAUUCCCCUAGUAACUGCGAGUGAAGCGGGAAAAGCUCAAAUUUAAAAUCUGGCGGUCUUUGGCCGUCCGAGUUGUAAUCUGGAGAAGCGUUUUCCGCGUCGGACCGUGUACAAGUCUCCUGGAACGGAGCGUCAUAGAGGGUGAGAAUCCCGUCUUUGACACGGACUGCCGAUGCUAUGUGAUGCGCUCUCAAAGAGUCGAGUUGUUUGGGAAUGCAGCUCAAAAUGGGUGGUAAAUUCCAUCUAAAGCUAAAUAUUGGCGAGAGACCGAUAGCGAACAAGUACCGUGAGGGAAAGAUGAAAAGAACUCUGGAAAGAGAGUUAAACAGUACGUGAAAUUGUUGAAAGGGAAACGCUUGAAGUCAGUCGCGUCUGCUGGGGAUCAACCUUGCUCUUUUGCUUGGUGUACUUCCUAGUUUGACGGGUCAGCAUCGGUUUUGAUUGCUGGAAAAAGGGUGGAGGAAUGUGGCAUCUUCGGGUGUGUUAUAGCCUCUGCUCUCAUACAGCGGUUGGGACCGAGGAACUCAGCACGCCUUUUUGGCCGGGGUUCGCCCACGUACGUGCUUAGGAUGCUGGCAUAAUGGCUUUAAGCGACCCGUCUUGAAACACGGACCAAGGAGUCUAACAUGCCCGCGAGUGUUUGGGUGGAAAACCCGGACGCGUAAUGAAAGUGAUAGUUGAGACCUCUGUCGUGGAGGGCAUCGACGCCCGGACCAGACCUUCUGUGACGGUUCCGCGGUAGAGCGUGUAUGUUGGGACCCGAAAGAUGGUGAACUAUGCCUGAAUAGGGUGAAGCCAGAGGAAACUCUGGUGGAGGCUCGUAGCGAUUCUGACGUGCAAAUCGAUCGUCAAAUUUGGGUAUAGGG
RNAcentral lists this ribosomal RNA (867 nucleotides) under Amylocorticiales sp. 2Di104-1. RNAcentral's name for it is "eukaryotic LSU rRNA". It matches the Rfam family "Eukaryotic large subunit ribosomal RNA", at positions 72 to 922 of the family's 3401-position model. Lineage: Eukaryota; Fungi; Basidiomycota; Agaricomycetes; Amylocorticiales. The record is from RNAcentral.